CUUAGCUUGGAAAUGAGCAAGUUCUCUGUUCUGUAGCUGCCACCUCUGAAACCCACGUCUGCUGCCUGCAGGGUGGAGUCCUUCAAACCUGGGCGGUUCUGGCUCUGCAUGAAUACGGGAGCUGUUCUGGGAACAACGCGGGCGGGCGGGCUCCCUCUCCACCGCGUGAGCUCUCAUUAAGGCUAAUGCCAGAUACGUGGGCAGCCUGGCUCCAGCAGAAUUUAACUCAGAGCGUGGCAGAAGCAUUAUGAAGAAAUGUGUGUUGGCGGCAGGCCCAUGCUUCCUUCCAGCACAUCCUUUUUACCAAAAGAGCCAUCCCGGGAGCUGCCAAGAGUGUUUACAAGAAAGUCGUCUGACAAUGCCUUGGUGUUGGCAAUGCAGCCUGACUGCAGACAGGGCCUGGCCUGCCCCACCCUGCCACAAGCCUGCCAUCAUCCUCACCAAACCUGGCACAUGAUGUGCAUGUCUUUAUUUCCCUCACGAAAAUGUUAAAAAAAAAACCAAAAAACAUAAAGCUGGUUUCUUUCUAGUCUCUCUCUA
This is a long non-coding RNA of Erinaceus europaeus (western European hedgehog), 540 nucleotides long. RefSeq lists it as uncharacterized. The record is from RefSeq and is a predicted model, not a curated record. The transcript is spliced from 2 exons. NCBI's taxonomy places the organism in Eukaryota, Metazoa, Chordata, Mammalia, Eulipotyphla, Erinaceidae.